This 73-nucleotide transfer RNA is filed under the name Ophiomastix mixta. Its description in RNAcentral is "tRNA-Leu". It matches the Rfam family "tRNA". From Rfam's summary of the family: Transfer RNA (tRNA) molecules are approximately 80 nucleotides in length. Their secondary structure includes four short double-helical elements and three loops (D, anti-codon, and T loops). Lineage: Eukaryota; Metazoa; Echinodermata; Ophiuroidea; Amphilepidida; Ophiocomidae. The record is from RNAcentral.
GCUAAGGUAGCUAAAUGGGAGUAGCGGGGAGUCUAAAACUCCUUUUAUAAGGGUUCGAAUCCUUUCCUUGGUA